This 253-nucleotide ribosomal RNA is filed under the name uncultured bacterium. RNAcentral describes it as "partial 16S ribosomal RNA". It matches the Rfam family "Bacterial small subunit ribosomal RNA", at positions 524 to 776 of the family's 1533-position model. The record is from RNAcentral.
UACGUAGGGUGCAAGCGUUGUCCGGAAUUAUUGGGCGCAAAGAGCUCGUAGGCGGUUUGUCGCGUCGAAUGUGAAAACCCGGGGCUCAACCCCGGGCCUGCAUUCGAUACGGGCAGACUAGAGUUCGGUAGGGGAGUCUGGAAUUCCUGGUGUAGCGGUGAAAUGCGCAGAUAUCAGGAGGAACACCGGUGGCGAAGGCGGGGCUCUGGGCCGAUACUGACGCUGAGGAGCGAAAGCGUGGGGAGCAAACAGG